Oncorhynchus masou masou (cherry salmon) is the source of this 491-nucleotide long non-coding RNA. RefSeq lists it as uncharacterized. The transcript has 2 exons. NCBI's taxonomy places the organism in Eukaryota, Metazoa, Chordata, Actinopteri, Salmoniformes, Salmonidae. The record is from RefSeq and is a predicted model, not a curated record.
UAUAUGGUCUGCUUUACCAUGGUUUUCAGCAAAUCAUAAUUCUGGGCUCAAACCAUCCAGUUUAUAUGGUAUAAGGUCUGUGUAUUGUAAAGUAGGACUGACACAGACUUGACAACUUUAAUGCUGUGCCAGAACAGGCUCCAAAAACCUGGUUGUUUGUCUCUGCUAAACUCAAGACUAGGGAAGAACCUCAAUUGCAUACUCCUUGCAUCCUCUCUCCUCACCUCCUUCACAAAACCCAUUGGAGGUGGUCAGAGAAGAUCCUCCCCUCACUCAAAUCUCUCCUCACCUCCUUCUCAAAACCCAUUGGAGGUGGUCAGAGAAGAUCCUCCCCUCACUCAAAUCUCUCCUCACCUCCUUCUCAAAACCCAUUGGAGGUGGUCAGAGAAGAUCCUCCCCUCACUCAAAUCUCUCCUCACCUCAUGGUCAAAACCCAUUGGAGGUGGUCAGAGAAGAUCCUCCCCUCACUCAAAUCUCUCCUCACCUCCUAC